Molecule: non-coding RNA, 74 nt
Organism: Lamprotornis superbus
Lineage: Eukaryota; Metazoa; Chordata; Aves; Passeriformes; Sturnidae
Source: the annotation of a GenBank genome assembly
ACUCAAUUGGCUCAGCUGGUCAGAGCAUGGUGCUGAUAAUACAAAGGUUGUGGGUUGAAUCCCCAUAUGGGCCA